CAAAAGCGUAUAUUAAAGUUGUUGCAGUUAAAAAGCUCGUAGUUGAACCUUGGGCUUGGCUGGCCGGUCCAUCUUUUUUGAUGCGUACUGGACCCCGCCGAGCCUUUCCUUCUGGCUAGCCUUUUGGCGAACCAGGACUUUUACUUUGAAAAAAUUAGAGUGUUCAAAGCAGGCCUUUGCUCGAAUAUAUUAGCAUGGAAUAAUAGAAUAGGACGUUAUGGUUCUAUUUUGUUGGUUUCUAGGACCAUCGUAAUGAUUAAUAGGGACGGUCGGGGGUAUCAGUAUUCAGUUGUCAGAGGUGAAAUUCUUGGAUUUACUGAAGACUAACUACUGCGAAAGCAUUUACCAAGGACGUUUUCAUUAA
RNAcentral lists this ribosomal RNA (364 nucleotides) under uncultured eukaryote. Its description in RNAcentral is "partial 18S ribosomal RNA". It matches the Rfam family "Eukaryotic small subunit ribosomal RNA", at positions 592 to 976 of the family's 1831-position model. The record is from RNAcentral.